AGGGGAGUAGAUCAGUUGGUAGAGCACCGGUCUCCAAAACCGGGUGUCGCAGGUUCAAGUCCUGUCUCCCCUGCCA
Molecule: transfer RNA, 76 nt
Filed under: Candidatus Saccharimonadota bacterium
Lineage: Bacteria; Candidatus Saccharimonadota
Description: tRNA-Trp
Rfam family: tRNA
About the family: Transfer RNA (tRNA) molecules are approximately 80 nucleotides in length.
Source: RNAcentral